RNAcentral lists this ribosomal RNA (253 nucleotides) under uncultured bacterium. RNAcentral describes it as "partial 16S ribosomal RNA". It matches the Rfam family "Bacterial small subunit ribosomal RNA", at positions 524 to 776 of the family's 1533-position model. The record is from RNAcentral.
UACGGAGGGUGCGAGCGUUGUCCGGAAUCACUGGGCGUAAAGGGCGCGUAGGUGGCGCGGGCAGUCAACGGUGAAAGUUCGGGGCUCAACCCUGAAUCGGCCGUCGAUACUCCCGUGCUUGAGCACUGUAGAGGCAGAUGGAAUUCCGGGUGUAGCGGUGGAAUGCGCAGAUAUCAGGAGGAACACCGGUGGCGAAGGCGGAUCUCUGGGCCAUUACUGACGCUGAGGAGCGAAAGCGUGGGGAGCGAACAGG